This 477-nucleotide ribosomal RNA is filed under the name uncultured organism. Its description in RNAcentral is "partial 16S ribosomal RNA". It matches the Rfam family "Bacterial small subunit ribosomal RNA", at positions 331 to 799 of the family's 1533-position model. The record is from RNAcentral.
GUACACUCCUACGGGAGGCAGCAGUGGGGAAUUUUGGACAAUGGGCGAAAGCCUGAUCCAGCAAUGCCGCGUGAGUGAAGAAGGCCUUCGGGUUGUAAAGCUCUUUUGUCAGGGAAGAAACGGUGAGAGCUAAUAUCUUUUGCUAAUGACGGUACCUGAAGAAUAAGCACCGGCUAACUACGUGCCAGCAGCCGCGGUAAUACGUAGGGUGCAAGCGUUAAUCGGAAUUACUGGGCGUAAAGCGUGCGCAGGCGGUUUUGUAAGUCUGAUGUGAAAUCCCCGGGCUCAACCUGGGAAUUGCAUUGGAGACUGCAAGGCUAGAAUCUGGCAGAGGGGGGUAGAAUUCCACGUGUAGCAGUGAAAUGCGUAGAUAUGUGGAGGAACACCGAUGGCGAAGGCAGCCCCCUGGGUCAAGAUUGACGCUCAUGCACGAAAGCGUGGGGAGCAAACAGGAUUAGAAACCCCAGUAGUCCCAUG